This 252-nucleotide ribosomal RNA is filed under the name uncultured prokaryote. Its description in RNAcentral is "partial 16S ribosomal RNA". It matches the Rfam family "Bacterial small subunit ribosomal RNA", at positions 525 to 777 of the family's 1533-position model. The record is from RNAcentral.
ACGGAGGGUGCAAGCGUUGUUCGGAUUUAUUGGGCGUAAGGGGAGGUAGGUGGUCCCGCAUGUCCGGGGUGAAAUCCCUGGGCUCAACUUAGGAAGUGCCUCGGAAACGGCGGGACUUGAGUCUUGGAGAGGUUGGCGGAAUUCCCGGUGUAGCGGUGAAAUGCGUAGAGAUAUGGAGGAACACCAGUGGCGAAGGCGGCUUCCUGGCCUGUAACUGACGCUGAGGCGCGAAAGCGUGGGGAGCAAACAGGA